ACUUACCUGGUCGAGAUAGAGACUGCAUGCAACAUAAGAGAUUGAGCGAGACUGCAAAUGAAAUUGUGAUACUAUGAGGAUUGGUCCAAGAAAUUUAGGGUUGAUGUGCAAUCUAAAGAGGUGUGGAAAUGGUUGCAUGAGAGGGAAGAGGUGCAAAGGGGAGAAGUAGUUGAAUCGAUGUGUUUUGACUGUCGCCGUACUUGUUUGGCUCUUCACGAUUUAUGACACACUGAAUUUAUAUGUAUUCGAUUUGAGAUUUUGUUGUUAGGGUUUGUGGUUUUCCGAUUAUUCACCGCGGACCUAUGUUAGGGCCUAGGUUUCCAACGGCCCACCCCAAAAAAAAUCAUUGUGAUACUAUGAGGAUUGGUCCAAGAAAUUUAGGGUUGAUGUGCAAUCUAAAGAGGUGUGGAAAUGGGUGCACGAGAGGGAAGAGGUUCAAAGGGGAGAAGUAGUUGAAUCGUUGUGUUUUGAUUGUCG
This 477-nucleotide long non-coding RNA is filed under the name Trifolium pratense (red clover). Its description in RNAcentral is "long non-coding RNA (TPRA_LNC013813)". The record is from RNAcentral. Lineage: Eukaryota; Viridiplantae; Streptophyta; Magnoliopsida; Fabales; Fabaceae.